GACAGAGGGUGCAAACGUUGUUCGGAAUUACUGGGCGUAAAGCGCGUGUAGGCUGCUUGGAAAGUCGGAUGUGAAAGCCCUGGGCUCAACCCAGGAAGUGCACUCGAAACUUCCGAGCUCGAGUUCUGGAGAGGAUAGCGGAAUUCUCGGUGUAGAGGUGAAAUUCGUAGAUAUCGAGAGGAACACCGGUGGCGAAGGCGGCUAUCUGGACAGAAACUGACGCUGAGACGCGAAAGCGUGGGGAGCAAACAGG
This 253-nucleotide ribosomal RNA is filed under the name uncultured bacterium. RNAcentral's name for it is "partial 16S ribosomal RNA". It matches the Rfam family "Bacterial small subunit ribosomal RNA", at positions 524 to 776 of the family's 1533-position model. The record is from RNAcentral.